CUGCGAACGGCUCAUUAGAGCUUAUAUAAAGUUUUCGGCUGCCUCUUAGGCUAUCUUCGACAAAUUGAAGCUAAUACGUGCACUCAUGUCCUUCUCGAAGGGCGCAAUAUUAGAACUACUGGCUUGCCGGCGGUUGAUUUCAAUUAUCGUUUUAUAUCGGAAGGCGACUUCCGAUGGCCGUAAACUGUGUACGCCCUAUCACCCAGCAGGUUAAUCAUUCGCUAACCAGGGGUAUUACGGGUAACGGAGAACUAGGGUUCGUCUCCGGAGAAGAAGCCUUUGAAAGGCUACUACAUCCAAGGAAGGCAGCAGGCGCGUAACUUAUCCACUACCACAGUGAGAUAGUAACUAGUCUUAACUAUUGACUGAUCUUUUAGGUUAGUCAUGGUCCAUGAGUUGAGCCUAAGUAGCUCUUCGAGGACCAAGUGGAGGGCAAGUCUGGUGCCAGCAGCCGCGGUAAUUCCAGCU
This 468-nucleotide ribosomal RNA is filed under the name Rhabditis sp. DF5059. Its description in RNAcentral is "SSU rRNA". It matches the Rfam family "Eukaryotic small subunit ribosomal RNA", at positions 87 to 590 of the family's 1831-position model. Lineage: Eukaryota; Metazoa; Nematoda; Chromadorea; Rhabditida; Rhabditidae. The record is from RNAcentral.